RNAcentral lists this ribosomal RNA (460 nucleotides) under uncultured bacterium. RNAcentral describes it as "partial 16S ribosomal RNA". It matches the Rfam family "Bacterial small subunit ribosomal RNA", at positions 338 to 795 of the family's 1533-position model. The record is from RNAcentral.
CCUACGAGUGGCAGCAGUGAGGAAUAUUGGUCAAUGGGCGCGAGCCUGAACCAGCCAAGUAGCGUGAAGGAUGACUGCCCUACGGGUUGUAAACUUCUUUUAUAAAGGAAUAAAGUGAGGCACGUGUGCCUUUUUGUAUGUACUUUAUGACUAAGGAUCGGCUAACUCCGUGCCAGCAGCCGCGGUAAUACGGAGGAUCCGAGCGUUAUCCGGAUUUAUUGGGUUUAAAGGGAGAGUAGAUGGGUUGUUAAGUCAGUUGUGAAAGUUUGCGGCUCAACCGUAAAAUUGCAAUUGAUACUGGCAGUCUUGAGUACAUUUGAGGUAGGCGGAAUUCGUGGUGUAGCGGUGAAAUGCUUAGAUAUCACGAAGAACUCCGAUUGCGAAGGCAGCUUACUAAACUGCCACUGACAUUGAUGCUCGAAAGUGUGGGUAUCAAACAGGAUUAGAUACCCGAGUAGUC